Molecule: ribosomal RNA, 2170 nt
Filed under: Triticum aestivum (bread wheat)
Lineage: Eukaryota; Viridiplantae; Streptophyta; Magnoliopsida; Poales; Poaceae
Description: partial small subunit ribosomal RNA
Source: RNAcentral
UUGGUUUUGUGGGGGCUAAAAAAAUAAAUAAACUAAAGCCCUUCCCCUCCCCCCUCUCUAUCUCUCUACCUGCUCCGCACCCUCUCCCGCCACCUCCGCCGCGAGGUGUGGCGGCCGCUCCCCUCGAGCAGCGGCCGCUCCUCGGACUGGGAGCUGCCGCGGCAGUUCACGUACGUGCCCGCGAACGGCCGCGGCCUCUAUGACCUCGCGGUGGUCUCGGACCUCGUGGAGAGCUAGCGGCCGCAGCCCCAGCGCAGCGAGCGCCCCAAGGGGGCGGACGCCUUGGAGUGCGCGGACUGCGAGAGGCUGUUGGCGUAGCGGCCGCCGGAGCUCGUGGAGCAGCUCCGCCCCGAGCCCAGCGACGCGCUGGAGCUGGAGUCGUUGUUAGCGUAGGUUCUACACCUGCUGGAGCGCGGCGAGCGGGCGGAGGCGGAGCAGAGCGAGCUGGAGAUGCUCACGGGGCAGUGCGCCCAGUUCCUGAUGUCUAGGUCCCACAAGCCCAACUAGGCCUGAGAGUUCAUGGAGCUGUUCUACCUGCGGCUGCUCUUGCUCGCGGGCCUCAGCCUGCUGCUGCUGCUGCUGCCCCUGCCGCUUCCACUACCGCUCCUUCUUCUACUACUACUGCUGCUGCUACUGCUCCUAGGACCUUCGCCGCUCCACCGUUUGCCCCCGCGGAGCGUGAGCGCUCCAUCGCAGCGUGGCGCGGGCCACCUCCACUUACCCCACUAGCUACACCUACUCCUACUCUCGCUCCGGCUGCUCCAGCACGGGUUACCCCCUCGGCUCGUGGUGGUGUCCCGGUUGCCCAAGUCCCAACGUCGCCAACCCCAUCGGGGACUACUCCUACUACUUCUGCACCUCCUACUGCUGCUGCUACGUCUGCUUCUCAUACUCCUCCUCCUCCUAAACCCUCUCCUCUAGCUACUCCUCCCACUACUUCUACUGUGACAACAGCUCCAUGAACUGCACGGGUCAUCACUACUACUCCUCCUACCGUAGCUACUCCUACUACUACUACUCCUCCUCCAACUCCUACUACCACUACCACUCCUCCGACUCGGUCUCUCAUCACCCUCCCAACGAUACCGCCACCCCCCGCAACCUCUUCUCUAGCUACCUGUACUCGUUCCACUUCCACUACUACUCCUACUCUUACCACUCUAACCUCUCCUUCUGCUCCUUUCUAACCUCCUAUCAUCCCAAAUACUCCUCCUGUUGCUACUACUGCUACGACUACUACUCCUACUUCUGUGUCUUAUAGAACAAGUUGGUUAACACUGCGGGGUUCGGUACCGACAACCUUCAGGUCCCCUGAAACUAUAGCGACUGGGCCUACUACAGCUACUUCUGUCUCUACUCCAGCUACUACUACUGCUGCUCCCACCGUUUCUGGUCGGCAGCAGGAGCGUCCCAUAGUUCGCCUUCUCCCUACUACUGGGUAGUCCGUCGCCGUCGCUGCUACUCCUACUACUAUGACUACUGGCCGGCAAGUUCGUGGUCACUGGUAACAUGUACCUAGUAGGGGAAGGAGUGGGGAAGAGUCCAUCUUUCUUCAUUGGUCCUCGUCGUCGUAGUCGUCGUUUUGUCUUUACUAGGGACGCGCGUUGCCGGCGCUAUUCCUUCCUCCCCUGUCGGUCCUGUCCGUCCGCUGGUGCGCUACGGGCACUCGGCACACCAGCAAGCACCACCCCUCGACGUCCUAGCCUGCCGUGCCUUACCUUUCGCCAACACACGCGAACGGAGCGAACUCGACGCCGCACCUCGCCCGGGUGCCCGGUGGCUCAAAACGCGCCCAGAGCAGGCGCAUGCACCCGGCCCGGAUCUCCGAUCUCCGGCGUGGUGCAACCCUGAACCCUUCAGUUUCAUCAAACCGGCCCGAAAGAGUUUUUUUUUUCUUCUUCUUCUCUUCAUGAGGGAGGCAAGGAUGAUGAGGCAUACAUCAUAAAAUUCUGUAAAGUGUACUUGUUGUUGUAUACUACAUACAUCUGUAUAAAAUUUCACAUCUAAGUGAGUAAAACGAGGCAUACAUCAGUGAACAACCUUAGAGAUCUUUCUGAAUAUAAACCCUUGCCUCCCUCAUCAAACCGGCCCAACGCCCACGCCCUGGGACCGCGGUGCCACUUUCACCUUCUCCUCUCUCGUUACCCUUUGGUGAACUACAACACGGCAC